UAUUUUCAUCCGUGAGCUGCUGACGUCGUCAGCGACCAUGCCCAAGCAGUCAUGAUCUGUGAGACUGCGACACGGUUAACCGUGUUGAUCAAACCUAAGAUCGCCGAGCUUCCGGUAGCGCGAUCGGUCAAUCGACAGCGAUUGAUGGAAGC
Molecule: regulatory RNA element, 152 nt
Organism: Pseudomonas taeanensis MS-3
Lineage: Bacteria; Pseudomonadati; Pseudomonadota; Gammaproteobacteria; Pseudomonadales; Pseudomonadaceae
Rfam family: radC RNA
Source: Rfam